GUGAAUCAUCGAAUUUUUGAACGCAAAUGGAAAGGGGGGGGAGGAAGGAAAGGAGGACGGUUUGAGGGUCAGUGAAAUAAAAAUCGGUGUGGGUGAGGGGGGUCGGGGGGAAGGGGCGGAAUUGAGUUGUCGGACCGUCGGUUAAGUGACUUAAAAUUUUGCAUGAUUUUCGAACGUAUUUAAAUUUCUUACGUACGUUUGAGAUAUCGAAGAGUGGAUGAGGUUCGGUCAGGGUCAUGAGAGGAAGCGAU
This 251-nucleotide unclassified non-coding RNA is filed under the name Glomus sp. RNAcentral describes it as "partial internal transcribed spacer 2". The record is from RNAcentral. Lineage: Eukaryota; Fungi; Glomeromycota; Glomeromycetes; Glomerales; Glomeraceae.